UGGAGAGUUUGAUCCUGGCUCAGGAUGAACGCUGGCGGCGUGCCUAAUACAUGCAAGUCGAGCGAACGGACGAGAAGCUUGCUUCUCUGAUGUUAGCGGCGGACGGGUGAGUAACACGUGGAUAACCUACCUAUAAGACUGGGAUAACUUCGGGAAACCGGAGCUAAUACCGGAUAAUAUUUUGAACCGCAUGGUUCAAAAGUGAAAGACGGUCUUGCUGUCACUUAUAGAUGGAUCCGCGCUGCAUUAGCUAGUUGGUAAGGUAACGGCUUACCAAGGCAACGAUGCAUAGCCGACCUGAGAGGGUGAUCGGCCACACUGGAACUGAGACACGGUCCAGACUCCUACGGGAGGCAGCAGUAGGGAAUCUUCCGCAAUGGGCGAAAGCCUGACGGAGCAACGCCGCGUGAGUGAUGAAGGUCUUCGGAUCGUAAAACUCUGUUAUUAGGGAAGAACAUAUGUGUAAGUAACUGUGCACAUCUUGACGGUACCUAAUCAGAAAGCCACGGCUAACUACGUGCCAGCAGCCGCGGUAAUACGUAGGUGGCAAGCGUUAUCCGGAAUUAUUGGGCGUAAAGCGCGCGUAGGCGGUUUUUUAAGUCUGAUGUGAAAGCCCACGGCUCAACCGUGGAGGGUCAUUGGAAACUGGAAAACUUGAGUGCAGAAGAGGAAAGUGGAAUUCCAUGUGUAGCGGUGAAAUGCGCAGAGAUAUGGAGGAACACCAGUGGCGAAGGCGACUUUCUGGUCUGUAACUGACGCUGAUGUGCGAAAGCGUGGGGAUCAAACAGGAUUAGAUACCCUGGUAGUCCACGCCGUAAACGAUGAGUGCUAAGUGUUAGGGGGUUUCCGCCCCUUAGUGCUGCAGCUAACGCAUUAAGCACUCCGCCUGGGGAGUACGACCGCAAGGUUGAAACUCAAAGGAAUUGACGGGGACCCGCACAAGCGGUGGAGCAUGUGGUUUAAUUCGAAGCAACGCGAAGAACCUUACCAAAUCUUGACAUCCUUUGACAACUCUAGAGAUAGAGCCUUCCCCUUCGGGGGACAAAGUGACAGGUGGUGCAUGGUUGUCGUCAGCUCGUGUCGUGAGAUGUUGGGUUAAGUCCCGCAACGAGCGCAACCCUUAAGCUUAGUUGCCAUCAUUAAGUUGGGCACUCUAAGUUGACUGCCGGUGACAAACCGGAGGAAGGUGGGGAUGACGUCAAAUCAUCAUGCCCCUUAUGAUUUGGGCUACACACGUGCUACAAUGGACAAUACAAAGGGCAGCGAAACCGCGAGGUCAAGCAAAUCCCAUAAAGUUGUUCUCAGUUCGGAUUGUAGUCUGCAACUCGACUACAUGAAGCUGGAAUCGCUAGUAAUCGUAGAUCAGCAUGCUACGGUGAAUACGUUCCCGGGUCUUGUACACACCGCCCGUCACACCACGAGAGUUUGUAACACCCGAAGCCGGUGGAGUAACCUUUUAGGAGCUAGCCGUCGAAGGUGGGACAAAUGAUUGGGGUGAAGUCGUAACAAGGUAGCCGUAUCGGAAGGUGCGGCUGGAUCACCUCCUUU
RNAcentral lists this ribosomal RNA (1548 nucleotides) under Staphylococcus aureus. RNAcentral's name for it is "16S ribosomal RNA from Staphylococcus aureus (PDB 9T4R, chain A)". It matches the Rfam family "Bacterial small subunit ribosomal RNA". The record is from RNAcentral. Lineage: Bacteria; Bacillati; Bacillota; Bacilli; Caryophanales; Staphylococcaceae.